GCAUAUCUAUAAGCGCAGGAAAAGAAACCAACAGGGAUUGCCUCAGUUAACGGCGAAGUGAAGCGGCAACAGCUUCAAAUUUGAAAUCUGGCCUCUUGGGGUCCGAGUUGUAAUUUGUAGAGGAUGUUUCGGGUACCGCCUCGGUUUAAAUUUCUUGGAACAGAAUGUCAAAGAGGGUGAGAAUCCCGUCUUGGACCGGCGGUAGGGCCUAUGUGAAACUCCUUCGACGAGUCGAGUUGUUUGGGAAUGCAGCUCAAAAUGGGUGGUAAAUUUCAUCUAAAGCUAAAUAUUGGCCAGAGACCGAUAGCGCACAAGUAGAGUGAUCGAAAGAUGAAAAGCACUUUGAAAAGAGAGUUAAACAGUAUGUGAAAUUGUUGAAAGGGAAGCGCUUGCAACCAGACUUGAGCGCGGCGGUUCCCCCUUGCUUCUGCUUGGGUUACUCCGCCGUGUCCAGGCCAACAUCGGUUCUGGGGGUCGGUCAAAGGCUCUGGGAAUGUAUCUACCCACGGGUAGACUUAUAGACCAGGGUGUCAUGCGACCUCCCGGGACCGAGGAACGCGCUUCGGCUCGGAUGUUGGCGUAAUGGUUGUCAGCGACCCGUCUUGAAACACGGACCAAGGAGUCUAACAUCUAUGCGAGUGUUUGGGUGUCAAACCCGGAACGCGGAAUGAAAGUGAACGGAGGUAGGAAGCUUCGGCUGCACUAUCGACCGAUCCUGAAGUUUACGGAUGGAUUUGAGUAAGAGCAUAGCUGUUGGGACCCGAAAGAUGGUGAACUAUGCCUGAAUAGGGUGAAGCCAGAGGAAACUCUGGUGGAGGCUCGCAGCGGUUCUGACGUGCAAAUCGAUCGUCAAAUUUGGGUAUAGGGGGCGAAAGACUAAUCGAACCAUCUGGUAGCUGGUUCCUGCCGA
This 910-nucleotide ribosomal RNA is filed under the name Fonsecaea pedrosoi. RNAcentral describes it as "LSU rRNA". It matches the Rfam family "Eukaryotic large subunit ribosomal RNA", at positions 38 to 964 of the family's 3401-position model. Lineage: Eukaryota; Fungi; Ascomycota; Eurotiomycetes; Chaetothyriales; Herpotrichiellaceae. The record is from RNAcentral.